UCGAGACGGCGGGGUAGAGGCCCGCCGCGGUAACGACGGGUACGGGGAAUCAGGGUUCGAUUCCGGAGAGGGAGCCCGAGAAACGGCUACCACUUCCAAGGAAGGCAGCAGGCGCGCAACUUACCCUAAUCUCGAUUCGAGGAGGUAGUGACAAGAAUACCGAUGCGGGACCCUACGGGUGCCGCGUUCGGAAUGAGUACGAUUCGAACCACCUAACGAGGAACGAUCGGAGGGCAAGUCUGGUGCCAGCAGCCGCGGUAAUUCCAGCUCCAAUAGCGUACGUUAAAAGUUGCUGCAGUUAAAAAGCUCGUAGUUGAACGUUCGGGUUCCGCGGGACGGGGCCGCCCCGCGAGGGACGGCGCCGCCCCGGGGCUCGUGAUAUCUCAUCUCGCCGCCCGUCGCGAGGCGGACGGAGGGAUGGAUGAGGUUACCUGGAAAAAAUCGGGGCGAUCUAGGCGGGCGAACCUCGCCAACGAACGAUCGGACAUGGGAUAACGGAAGAGGGCGUCGGCUCGACUUCGUCGGUUCCUCGGGCCGAGGCACGUACGGUGAAUAGGGAC
RNAcentral lists this ribosomal RNA (560 nucleotides) under uncultured eukaryote. RNAcentral's name for it is "bacterial SSU rRNA". It matches the Rfam family "Eukaryotic small subunit ribosomal RNA", at positions 320 to 879 of the family's 1831-position model. The record is from RNAcentral.